This is a long non-coding RNA of Echinops telfairi (small Madagascar hedgehog), 318 nucleotides long. RefSeq lists it as uncharacterized. The transcript has 3 exons. Lineage: Eukaryota; Metazoa; Chordata; Mammalia; Afrosoricida; Tenrecidae. The record is from RefSeq and is a predicted model, not a curated record.
CCCAUCUGAUGAGCCAGCAGGCUAGAGCAAUGACCCAUGACACUCUGGCCCUCUUAUCUAGAGAUGGAGUUAUUGGAAAUCCAGCCGGGUCCUCGUGAAGAAAGGCAAAGAAGGGAGGAAAAAAACUCCUGAAAAACAGCUACCAGUGGAUUUGAUGGAAAGGGAUUCCCCUUCCAAACGGUGACUUUCUCCACACCUCCUCUCCACACCCGCAUCCACGGAUCCAGAUCCUCGUCCAUCUCAAGAGAAUACCAUGGUGUGGGAUUCCCCAUUGUAAACAUCCAAAGCUCCGGUGACGGCUACUGAGCUGCCUUCAAC